This 495-nucleotide ribosomal RNA is filed under the name uncultured bacterium. RNAcentral describes it as "partial 16S ribosomal RNA". It matches the Rfam family "Bacterial small subunit ribosomal RNA", at positions 28 to 507 of the family's 1533-position model. The record is from RNAcentral.
GACGAACGCUGGCGGCGUGCCUAAUACAUGCAAGUAGAACGCUGAAGGAGGAGCUUGCUUCUCUGGAUGAGUUGCGAACGGGUGAGUAACGCGUAGGUAACCUGCCUGGUAGCUGGGGAUAACUUUUGGAAACGAUAGCUAAUACCGCAUAAUAGUAGAUGUUGCAUGACAUUUGCCUAAAAGGUGCAAUUGCAUCACUACCAGUUGGACCUGCGUUGUAUUAGCUAGUUGGUGGGGUAACGGCUCACCAAGGCGACGAUACAUAGCCGACCUGAGAGGGUGAUCGGCCACACUGGGACUGAGACACGGCCCAGACUCCUACGGGAGGCAGCAGUAGGGAAUCUUCGGCAAUGAGCGGAAGUCUGACCGAGCAACGCCGCGUGAGUGAAGAAGGUUUUCGGAUCGUAAAGCUCUGUUGUAAGAGAAGAACGAGUGUGAGAGUGGAAAGUUCACACUGUGACGGUAUCUUACCAGAAAGGGACGGCUAACUACGUG